GAUUCUGUUUCUACUCUAAACAGAAAUAAGGUCUCUUAGUUGAGUGGGAUCCUGCCCAAGAUGGAGUAUCAUGUAUCCUAAGGAUUAAGGCAAUCUCCUUAUCAAUUAUGCCCUUCAAUGUCUGGCUUACUAACCUAUAGGAACUAAUCCCUAAAUAAUGAAGUAUUUAAAAAGAAGAAAGUAAAGGAUUCAGCCUCAUUUAAUAACUGAUUAUUAAUGUAAUAGAAAAUAAACAUUUCUCUCAGAUUAUACAAAAGUGGUCUUGACACCUGAACCAGGAAGAGCCAAAAAAAAAAAAAAAAAGAAAAGAAAA
Antechinus flavipes (yellow-footed antechinus) is the source of this 313-nucleotide long non-coding RNA. RefSeq lists it as uncharacterized. The record is from RefSeq and is a predicted model, not a curated record. The transcript is spliced from 2 exons. Lineage: Eukaryota; Metazoa; Chordata; Mammalia; Dasyuromorphia; Dasyuridae.